AUGGACUUCCACGCGCUCCCCCGCCGCGACCUCCAGGCCCUGGCCAAGCGCAACGGCGUCCGCGCCAACCUGAGCAACGCCGCCAUCGCCGACGCCCUCGCGGCGCUCCCCGCGGUCGACGGGAUCGAGGAGUACGUCGAGCAGCCGGUCGUUGUCGAAGUGGCCAAGCCGGCGGUUCAGGCGGUUGUGGAGGAGGUGAAGAAGAAGAAGACGAAGAAGCAGGAGGCGGAGGAGAAAGAGAAGAAGAGGAAGAAGCAGGAGGAGGAGAUCUCGCUGGAGGUCAUCUUACUGGUGGACAGCGAGGAAGAGGAGGAAGAGAAAGCCCCAGCCGCCGGGCGCGGUCGCGGUCGCGGAAGAGGACGCGGACGCGGACGCGGUGCCGGCGGGCGCGCACGGGUCGAGCCUGUGGCUGCUCCAGCCACGAGGAAAAGGGCUGCGGCAAGCAAGACUGAAACGGAGGAUGCACCUGCGGAGCCCGUGGCGGCUCCGGCCACAAGGAAAAGGGCUGCGGCAAGCAAGACCGAGACAGAUGAUACCGCUGCGGAGGCCGUGCCGGCCCGUGCCACUCGCGCUCGGAGCCAGACGACGGCGGCGCCCGUCGCCGAGGAAGAGGCGCCCAAGACAAGACGGGCGUCGAGGCGGACCGCGGCGACCAAGACUGGUACGCAGCAGGAAGAAGAAGGAAAGGGGACGCAAGCUGUCGCCUCUGAAAUGGAAACUGCGGAAAUGGAAGAAGAUGCCACGAAUCCUCAGAACGAGGAGCAAAACGAGGUUGAGGAACAGAGCCAGAACGGCCAAGGGGUUGUAGUCGAGGAUGCACCAGCACAGGUGCAAGAAGAACCACCAGUGGAGAAGGAGGACGACGGUAGGCAAGAAUCUCCUGCCAUUGGCGCGGGGAGGCGAGGUGGCAGACGACGCGCACGGCCCGAGCCUGUGGCGUCUCCGGCUACCAGGAAAAAGGCUGCAACAAGGAAGACCGUGACAUGGGAUGAUGCUCCGGCUGCAGAGGCCGUGCCGGCUCGGGCCACCCGUCGCGCUCGGAGCCAGACGACAGUGACUGAGGAGGCGCCCAAGGGAAGACGGGCGUCGAGGAGGACUGCUGCGCAGCAGGAAGAGGAAGGGGAAGACCAGCAAGCCGUUGCCUCUGAUGCGGAAGCUGCUGCGCCUGCGCCGGUUUCCUCGGACGAAGCAGCUGGUGAUGCUGCAGAAAUGGAGGAAGAAGCCACGAAUCCGCAGGAACAGUUUGAGGAAGAACCACCGGUGGAGAAGGAGGAGAAAUCGCCUGCCGUUCGCGUGGGACGGCGCGGUGCCCGCGGGCGCCCACGGGCCGAUCCUGUGGCGGCUCCGGCUACGAGGAAAAGGGCCGCAACAAGCAAGACCGAGACAGAGGAGGCGCCCGUGGAGGCCGCGCCGGCUCGGACCACUCGUCGUGCUCGGGGCCAGACCACGGUCGUUCCGGUGGCCGAGGAAGUCGCGCCCAAGACAAGACGGACGUCGAGGAGGGCUCCGGCGAGGAAGACUGGUACACAGCAGGAAGAGGAAGGGGAAGGCCAGCAAGCAGCCGUUGUCGAAACUGUUGCGCCUGCGCCGGUUUCCUCUGACGAGGGAGCUGACGAUGCUGCAGCAAUGGAAGCAGCCAUGGAUCCUCAGACUGAGGAGCAAAACGAGCUAGUUGAGCAAAACAAUGAACUUGAGACAGGUGAUGAUAUGGAAACUGCUGUACCUACUGAAGAAACAGAAAGGGAGGCCAUGGAUCUUCAGAACGAAGAGCAAAACAAUCUGGUUGAGGACCAGUGUCAGGAAGAUGCAGGUGGUGUGCCUGAUAUGGAAACAGCACCAGUUUCCUCUGACGAGGAAGAUGAUGAUACUGAAGAGAUAGAAGAAGAGGCCGUGGAUCCUCAGAACGGUGAGCAAAAGGAGCUGCUGGUUGAGGAACAGGGCCAGGAAGAGGAGCACGAGACAGGUGAUGUCCCUGAUAUGGAAAGUGCACCGGUUUCCUCAGACGAGGGACAUGAUACUACUGCAGUAAUGGAAGAAGAGGCCAUGCAUCUUGAGAACGAAGAGCAAAAGGAGCUGCUGGUUGAGGAGCCGAGCCAGGAAGAUGCAGGUGAUGUGCCUUCUAUGGAAACUGCACAGGUUUCCUCUGACGACGAAAAUGAUGAUACUGAAGAAAUAGAAGAGGAGCAGGGUCAGGAAGACGAAGGUCGUGUGGAAACUGCUGUGCCGGUUUCUUCAGACGAGGCAAGUGGUGGUACUGAAGAAAUGGAAGAAGAGGACCAGCAAGCUGUUGUUUCUGAUGCGGAAACUGUUGCGCUUUCCUCGGACGAAGGAGCUGGUGAUGCUGCAGAGCUGGAAGCAACCAUGGAUGCUCAGAACGAGGAGCAGAACGAGCUAGUUGUGGAGCAGGGCCAGGAAGACGAAGGUGAUGUCCUUGACAUGGAAACUGCUGUGCCUGGACCGGCAACCUCAGACGAGGGAAGUGAUGAUGACGCUGAAGAAAUGGAAGCAGCCAUGGAUCCUCAGGCCGAUGAGCAAAAUGAGCUAGUUGAGGAACAGGAUCAGGAAGAAGAAGGGUUGGCCUCGGAUAUGCAAACCAGUCCCGAACUAGUGGAAGAACCAGCACCAGUGGCAGAAGAUUGCAGUUCAUCAGUGGAAGAGCAGCAGGACGAUGUCCAGCAGUGUGAGCAGUCUCCAGUCGCCCAGAAUGUUGUUGAUCAGGAAGGCCAUUUCCCGGCUGAAACUGUCUCCAGCGAGGGGCCACUGGACGUGGAGAUUCAUCAUGCCGGUGAGGCCGCUGAGGACGCUGAGGAUCAUCAGACGGAAAUUGUGCCCGUGGAAGCGCCGGAAUCCGGUGAGUCCACUGAGGAAGCUGAGGAGCAUCAGUCCACUGAAGAGACUGAAAUGGUGCCGGUGGAAGCGCCGGAAUCCGGUGAGGCCACUGACGAAGCUGAGGAGCAUCAGUCCACUGAAGAGACUGAAAUGAUGGUGCCCAUGGAAGCGCCGGAAUCCGGUGAGGCCACUGACGAAGCUGAGGAGCAUCAGUCCACUGAAGAGACUGAAAUGAUGGUGACCAUGGAAGAGACCGCUGAGGAAGUUGAGGAGAUUCAGCAGUCCAGUGAAGAGACUGAAAUGGUGCCCGUUGAGGAAGCUGAGGAGGUUCAUCAUUCCAGGGAAGAGACAGAAAUGGUGCCCGUUGAGGAAGCUGAGAAGAUUCAUCAGUCCAGUGAAGAGACGGAAAUGGUGCCCGUGGCCGAGUCGGCGGCUCAGGCCGCUGACAAAGCUGAGCAGAUUCAUCAGUCGAGUGAAGAGACCGAAAUGGUGCCCGUGGACUCACCGGUGCCGCAGGAGGUUGGUUUCACCUGCCAUGCAGACACUGCCAUUGAGGAGGAGAAUGAAGUGCUUCAGAGUGCAGCCAAAGCCAAUGAGGAGAAGGAAGACCUGGUUGUCGAAGAGGAGGAGAGUGAAGUGCUGUUUGGUGCUCUUUUCCAGAGCGCAGCCAAGACCAGUGAGAACAAGGAUGAGCUGGCUGUUGAAGAGUUGUUGCAGCAUGACAUGGAUGAGGCUGCUGCAGAGGAUGACAAUGAAGUUUCAGUCCUUGGUGCUCUGUUCCAGAGCGCAGCCAAAGGCAAUCAGAACAAGGGAGAUGUUGAAGAGCUGCAGCAUAACACCAUGGAUGAGGCUGUUGAAGAGGACAAUGAUGUGCCAAUCCUUGGUGCUCUGUUCCAGAGCGCAGCCAAAACAAAUGAGAACAAGGAACGUCUGGGUCUUGAGUCUGCUGCAGAGGAGGCGGCGAAUGAGGUGCCAUUCUUUGGUGCCCUGUUCCAGAGCGCAGCCAAGUCCAGUGAGAACAAGAAACAUCUGGCUGUUGAGGAGAAUGAGGUGCCAUUCUUUGGUGCUCUGUUUCAGAGCGCAGCCAAGUGCAACGAGAACCAGACCGCAGCCAAAACAAAUGAGAACAAGGAACAACAACUGGUUGUUGAUGAGGUGCAGUAUAACUUGGAUGAGUGUGUUGCAGAGGAGGGGAAUGAGGAAGAUAUGGCUGUCUUUGGUGCCCUGUUUCAGAGCGCAGCCAAGUCCAGUGAGAACAAGGAACAUUUGGUUCUUGAUGAGGUGAAGCAUGCCAUGGAUAAUGAGUCUGUUGCAGAGGAUGAGAAUGAGGUGGCAUUCUUUGGUGCUCUGUUUCAGAGCGCGGCCAAGUCCAAUGAGAAGAAGAAGAAAUAUCUGGUUGUUGAUGAGUGUGCUCAAGAGGAAGACAGUGAGGUGCCAUUCUUUGGUGCUCUGUUUCAGAGUGCAACCAAGGCAACCAAGAACAAGAAUCAUCUGAUUGUUGGUGAGGCGGAGCAGCAUAACAUGGACGAGGAGUCUGUUCAAGAAGAGGAGCAAGAUAUGGCUGUUGAUGAGUUGCAGCAUAUCAAGUCUGUUGAGGAGGAGAACGAUGAAGAUCAGACAACCUUGGCUGCUUGGCUGCUGCUUCACAGAGCAGCCAAGACCGCUGAAGGCAAGGAAGACCUGAUUGUUGAUGAGGUGCAGCAUGACACAGAAGAGCAUGUUGAAGAGGAGCCAAAGAAGGAGAGUGUUGAGGAAUCGGUCACCGUCAACCUCCUGUCGCAAACCACUGUAAGAGAGGAGAGUGGCAUCGCCAGUGAGCUGAGAAAUGUGCCCGUCGAGGAGGACGACGGUGGCAUGGUGGCCGCCGAUGAGAUGCCACUCAGCUCAGCCACAAUGUUUGAGGGCGCUGUACAAGUGAUCACCGUCGAGAACCUGUCGCAAGCCACAGUAACUGACGAUGAGGGUGCAGUCAAGGGCGGCCUCGCAGAUGUGUCCGUUGAAGAGGUGCUCAUCGUCGACAACCUGUCGCAGGCCACGGUGACUGAUGGUGAAUGGGCAGCCAGGGAGUGUGCUUUUUCCACCGGCAACCUCACACCGGUCGUCGACACUGCCAAGGACAUGGUGACCGUCGACUACCUGUCGCAGGCCACAGUGACAGAUGACGAAUGGGCAGUCAAGGAGAGCGCUUUCGCCGGUGACCGCUCACCGGUGUUCGACGCUGCCGGAGACUGCAGUGGUCACGUCAUUUCGCCCCUGUUUGCAGGCCUGUUUGAGGAUGCCACCAAGUUCCUAUCCAUGGAUUCCAUCACUGUGGAGGCAACGGUCUCUGAAGCUGCUGUUGAGAAGAACAUCACUGUGGAGGCAACGGUGUCUGAAGCUGCUGCUGAGAAGAACGUUGCUGAACCUGUGGCAAUGGAACAAGAGAAGGAAGUGAAGGAGGAAAGCAACGAAUCUGAAGCAUUGGGCAGCUUGAGCCUGAGGAAGCUUAGGGUCCAGCUCAAGGAGAAGGCGGCAGCGGCACAAGAGAAUGAAGUGAGGGAGGGUGAGAAAUCAUCUGUGCCACUGGAUAAGCUUAGCCUACGGAGGCUCAAACUGAAGCUCAGGGAGACGCUGAUUGCUCACAAGAACAGAGAAGCAAACAGAGUGCCCCUUGGAAGGUUAGACCAGACGCUGAAUUCAGCUCACAAGAACAGAGAGCCGACUAGGGUGCCCCUCCUCGGCAGGUUGGACGAGAACUCGGCGUCUCAGUUGCAGAAGAGGGAGCCCAAUAGGGUGCCCCUCGGCAGGCUGGACGACAACUCGGCGUCGAAGAUGCAGCACAGAGAGCCGAAUUCGGCGUCGAAAAUGCAGAACAGGGAGCCGUAUUCAGCGUCGAAAAUGCAGAAGAGGGAGCCGAAUUCAGCGUCGAAAAUGCUGAGCAGAGAACCUAUCAGGAUGCGCCUCGGAAGGCUGGACGAGAACGCGUGUUGA
RNAcentral lists this ribosomal RNA (5799 nucleotides) under Triticum aestivum (bread wheat). RNAcentral describes it as "partial small subunit ribosomal RNA". Lineage: Eukaryota; Viridiplantae; Streptophyta; Magnoliopsida; Poales; Poaceae. The record is from RNAcentral.